RNAcentral lists this ribosomal RNA (383 nucleotides) under Citrobacter sp. FER39. RNAcentral describes it as "bacterial SSU rRNA". It matches the Rfam family "Bacterial small subunit ribosomal RNA", at positions 969 to 1352 of the family's 1533-position model. Lineage: Bacteria; Pseudomonadati; Pseudomonadota; Gammaproteobacteria; Enterobacterales; Enterobacteriaceae. The record is from RNAcentral.
CCUUACCUGGUCUUGACAUCCACGGAAUUUGGCAGAGAUGCCUUAGUGCCUUCGGGAACCGUGAGACAGGUGCUGCAUGGCUGUCGUCAGCUCGUGUUGUGAAAUGUUGGGUUAAGUCCCGCAACGAGCGCAACCCUUAUCCUUUGUUGCCAGCGGUCCGGCCGGGAACUCAAAGGAGACUGCCAGUGAUAAACUGGAGGAAGGUGGGGAUGACGUCAAGUCAUCAUGGCCCUUACGACCAGGGCUACACACGUGCUACAAUGGCAUAUUCUUAGAGAAGCGACCUCGCGAGAGCAAGCGGACCUCAUAAAGUAUGUCGUAGUCCGGAUUGGAGUCUGCAACUCGACUCCAUGAAGUCGGAAUCGCUAGUAAUCGUGGAUCAG